AAAUUAAAAUUGCCUAGAAACCCUAAAUUAAAUUAAAAAUAUCCCUCUCCAUCUCCCUUCCCAACGGCAUCUCCAUCUCCAUAUCUCAAUUGGCAGAAAUGACUCGUGUUUUCCCCACACCAAGAGUCAUAGCCCUCGCAGAUUUCACGCCGCCGGCCUGCUUGCCCGGAGAAGAAAGCCGAGGACUUGGCUGUCUCGGAGUUUGGUCCCCGCCGCGGCUGCUACUCGCCAUCAUCAGACGCCGUCGUCUCCUGCAGCAGGUCGCUGGUCCGGAUUCGUGGGCAGCGUCACGUGGCUGCUGACUCGCGGCCUUGCCGCCGCUGCCAACUGCGCGAACCCAUCGCCGUCCGCCCUCCCAUCGUUUGAUCCAGCUGAGCAAAGUGGUGACUUAUCAAGAUCCAUGGGCAUCCCAACUUUCAAUCGAACUAUGGCCUUCCUGAAAUCCACACAUAUAGACUACAAUGCCACGGGCUUAUACUGGUGUUGGGAAAUGAAGCUUUGGAAAUCAUAGAAUAUGCUUUUUCAAAAGAUAGGUUGUGAAGACUUUUGACUUCAGCCUCACUGGUGCCUCUUCAAGAUCUUGUAAAUAUGUCAUGGAUACUAUGAUGCAGACUUUUAAGAACAAGAGGCUUGCUUAUGCAGUUAAAGAGAGUACUCUUGAUAGUCUCAUCAUGGAACUAUUGCUCCGGCUUUUGGAUGAUAGUAAUCCCCAAUGGAUGAUGGAAGUCAACUUUUAAGAGCUUUGAAUGUUCUGAUGUUAAAGAUUCUGGAUAACGUAGAAUGUAUUUCAUCAUUUCCUGUGCUUAUAUAUCUGUCAAGACCUGGAUCCAUCAAGAUGGCCAUCUCCAUCAAAUGAUCUCUUGAAAUCAGGAACCAGAAGUUCUCUGAUUUGGUUGUUAAAUGUUUGAUCAUGCUCACAAAGGUUAAGGAGCCAAAACCAGAAGCUGUUCCUUAGGCUGUGGGUUCAGUACCCACUUAAGAGUGUAGCUGAUGCACCUCAGGACCUUAUCGAUCCAGUUGAUAUAUUAAAGCCUUUGGAGAAGUCUGGAUUUUAGGAAGCGGUUAAAGCUUCAAAAUGGUGGGAGAGGAAAGAGGCUGUUGCUGAACUAGCCGAACUUGCUUCAACCAAAAAGAUUUCUCUUGGAGAUUUUUCAGAAAGUUUGUCAUACAUUAAAGAAGGUGUGCUAUGGGUUUCCUUGACCACAGGUCCACAACUCAAUUAAGGUUAUCACGAAUGUAAAUGUUACUGAAGGAAGGAAAAAAAGGAAAAAAAAAGAAAAAACAUUGUUGUUGCAGCUGAAGCUAUUCAAGCGCUGGGCAACCUUCCUAAGGGCAUGAGAACCCUUCCUAAAAAAAGAAAAAAAAAAGAAAAAAAAGGAAAGAAAAUGAAAAAAGCAAAAAAGGGAAAAAAAGGAAAAAAUAAUUGCUGAUGCAUUUAAAGCUAUUCAAGCACUGGGCAACUUUGCUGGGGAUCCGAAAGCCCAUUUUUCGGCCAGUUGUCGCUUCUUAUUUGCCUGUAAACCGCACCUCAGGACCUUGUCGAUCCGGUUGAUAUAUUAAAGCCUCCUUAGGAGAAGUCUGGAUUUUGGGAAGCGGUGAUAGCUUCUAAAUGGCGUGAGAGGAAAGAAGCUGUUGCUGAACUAACCGAACUUGCUUCCACCAAAAAGAUUUCUCUUGGAGAUUUUUUCAGAAAGUUUGUCAUACAUUAAAGAAGGUUAUCAGGAAUGUAAAUGUUACUGAAGGAAGGAAAAAAAGGAAAAAACAUUGUUGUCGCAGCUGAAGCUAUUCAAGCGCUGGGCAACCUUCCUAAGGGCCUGAGAACCCUUCUAAAAAAAAGAGAAAAAAGGAAAAAAAGGAAAAAAACAAAAAAAGGGAAAAAAGGGAAAAAGAGAAAAAAAAUAAUUGCUACUGCGUAUAAAGCUAUUCAAGCAUUGGGCAACGUUGCUAGACUUUUCAGAACAAGAGCCUUGCUUAUGCAGUUAAGGAGUGUACUCUGAUAGUCUCAUCAAUGAACUGUUUCUCUGGCUUUUGGAUGAUAGGCUUCCGGAGAUGGAUGAUGGACGUCAAAUUUUAACUGCUUUGAAUGUUCUGAUGUUAAAGAUUCUGGAUAACGCAUAAUAUACGUCAUCAUUUCCUGUGGCUAUAAAUCUGUUAAGACCUCUGGAUCAAUCAAGAUGUCCAUCUUCAGAUCAGAAACAUAAAACCUAAAGUUCUCUGAUUUGGUUUUUAACUGUUUGAUCAUGCUCUAAAGGAAUCUACAACUCCAAAGAAGGUUGUUAAAGUAACUUAACUGGUGGCAUAGAUGGACUUCCACGUGAAGAUAUAAGUGAAAAGGUCACCCCCCUUUUGUUAAAAGGCUUAUAGAGUUCUGAUUGGAAGGUCCACUUGGAAUCUAUUGAAAAUGUAACCAAAAUUCUGGAAGAGGAGAACUGGAACUGGAGAUCUAUUUGGAGCUCUAUAAGGGCGUCAACACGACAGUUCUAAAAUUUGAUAAUUGCUACUUUGUCAACAGUUGGUGCUCUUCGGACUACAAUGGGACAUCCAGUUGAGAAGUCAAGCUAGCUCCUGUGAAGGCUUGAUCAUUUACACGAAUGUAGCUUGUGCAAGGGAUUCUUUCUGAUUUUUCAGAUGUCUUGAAAUGCCUUGGUGACAACAAAAAGCAUAUGCAUGAGUGUACAUCGAGUACCUUAGAUACUUGGCUUGAGUGUACAUCUGGCCAAUGUUGUCAAGUCGCCACGUAGCCAAAGGUCGAGGUUCUAGGUUUUGUCGGAACCCAAUUUAUGUGCAUCAAUGAUUCUGACCAACCAUCUUAAGCUUUAAUGAAUUGAAGCUGCCUUUGUAAAUGCUCCUCAGGACCUUAUCGAUCCAGUUGAUAUAUUAAAGCUUUUGGAGAAGUCUGGAUAUUGGGAAGCUGUGAUAGCUUCAAAAUUGCGUGAGAGGAAAGAAGCUGUUGCUGAACUAACCGAACUUGCUUCCACCAAAAAGAUUUCUCUUGGAGAUUUUUUCAGAAAGUUUGUCAUACAUUAAAGAAGGUUAUCACGAAUGUAAAGGUUACUGAAGGAAGGAAAAAAAGGAAAAAAAAAAGAAAACACAUUGUUGUUGCAGCUGAAGCUAUUCAAGCUCUGGGCAACCUUGGCAUGAGAACCCUUCCUAAAAAAAGAAAAAAAAAAGAAAAAAAAGGAAAAAAAAUGAAAAAAAUAAUUGCUGAUGUAUUUAAAGCUAUUCAAGCACUGGGCAACUGUGCUAGAGAUCCGAGAGCCCAUUUUUCGGCCAAUUGUUGCUUCUUAUUUGCCUGUAAACCGUCUAAGAUGUCUUCCCUAUCAGCACCUCAGGACCUUAUCGAUCCAGUUGAUAUAUUAAAGCCUCCUUUUUAUAAGUUUGGAUUUUGGGAAGCGGUGAAAGCUUCAAAAUGGCAUGAGAGGAAAGAAGCUGUUGCUGAACUAACCGAACUUGCUUCCACCAAAAAGAUUUCUCUUGGAGAUUUUUUCAGAAAGUUUGUAAUACAUUAAAGAAGGUUAUCACGAAUGUAAAGGUUACUGAAGGAAGGAAAAAAAGGAAAAAAAAAAGAAAAAAACAUUGUUGUUGCAGCUGAAGCUAUUCCAGCGCUCGGCAACCUUCCUAAGGGCAUGAGAACCCUUCCUAAAAAAAGAAAAAAAAAGAAAAAAAGGAAAGUAAAUGAAAAAAAGCAAAAAAAGGAAAAAAAGGAAAAAAUAAUUGCUGAUGCAUUUAAAGCUAUUCAAGCACUGGGCAACUUUGCUGGGGAUCCGAGAGCCCAUUUUUCGGCCAGUUGUCGCUUCUUAUUUGCCUGUAAACCGCACCUCAGGACCUUGUCGAUCCAGUUGAUAUAUUAAAGCCUCCUUAGGAGAAGUCUGGAUUUUGGGAAGCGGUGAUAGCUUCAAAAUUGCGUGAGAGGAAAGAAGCUGUUGCUGAACUAACCGAACUUGCUUCCACCAAAAAGAUUUCUCUUGGAGAUUUUUUCAGAAAGUUUGUCAUACAUUAAAGAAGGUUAUCAGGAAUGUAAAUGUUACUGAAGGAAGGAAAAAAAGGAAAAAACAUUGUUGUCGCAGCUGAAGCUAUUCAAGCGCUGGGCAACCUUCCUAAGGGACUGAGAACCCUUCUAAAAAAAAGAGAAAAAAGGAAAAAAAGGAAAAAAAGAAAAAAAGUAAAAAAAGGGAAAAAGAGAAAAAAAAUAAUUGCUACUGCGUAUAAAGCUAUUCAAGCAUUGGGCAACGUUGCUAGACUUUUCAGAACAAGAGCCUUGCUUAUGCAGUUAAGGAGUGUACUCUGAUAGUCUCAUCAAUGAACUGUUUCUCUGGCUUUUGCAUGAUAGGCUUCCGGAGAUGGAUGAUAGACGUCAAAUUUUAACUGCUUUGAAUGUUCUGAUGUUAAAGAUUCUGGAUAACGCAUAAUAUACGUCAUCAUUUCCUGUGCCUAUAAAUCUGUUAAGUCCUCUGGAUCAAUCAAGAUGUCCAUCUUCAGAUCAGAAACUUAAAACCUAAAGUUCUCUGAUUUGGUUUUUAACUGUUUGAUCAUGCUCUAAAGGAAUCUGCAACUCCAAAGAAGGUUGUUAAAGUAACUUAACUGGUGGCAUAGAUGGACUUCCACGUGAAGAUAUAAGUGAAAAGGUCACCCCCACUUUGUUAAAAGGCUUAUAGAGUUCUGAUUGGAAGGUCCACUUGGAAUCUAUUGAAAAUGUAACCAAAAUUCUGGAAGAGGAGAACUGGAAUUGGAAAUCUAUUUGGAGCUCUAUAAGGGCGUCUACACGACAGUUCUAAAAUUUGAUAAUUGCUACUUUGUCCACAGUUGGUGCUCUUCGGACUACAAUGGGACAUCCGGUUGAGAAGUCAAGCUAGCUCCUGUGAAGGCUUGAUCAUUUACACGAAUGUAGCUCGUGCAAGGGAUUCUUUCAGAUUUUUCUGAUGUCUUGAAAUGCCUUGGUGACAACAAAAAGCAUAUGCAUGAGUGUACAUCUAGUACCUUAGAUACUUGGCUUGAGUGUAUAUCUGGCCAAUGUUGUCAAGUCACCACGUAGCCAAAGGUCGAGGUUCUAGGUUUUGUGGGAACCCAAUUUAUGUGCAUCACUGAUUCUGACCAACCAUCUUAAGCUUUAAUGAAUUGAAGCUGCCUUUGUAAAUGCUCCUCAGGACCUUAUCGAUCCAGUUUAUAUAUUAAAGCCUUUGGAGAAGGCUGGAUAUUGGGAAGCGGUGAAAGCUUCAAAAUGGUGGGAGAGGAAAGAGGCUGAACUAGCCGAACUUGCUUCAACCAAAAAGAUUUCUCUUGGAGAUUUUUUCAGAAAGUUUGUCAUACAUUAAAGAAGGUAAUCACGAAUGUAAAUGUUACAGAUGGAAAAAAAAGAAAAAAAACAUUGUUGUUGCAGCUGAAGCUAUUCAAGCGCUGGGCAACCUUGGCAUGAGAACCCUUCCUUAAAAAAGAAAAAAAAAAGAAAAAAAUGAAAAAAAUAAUUGCUGACGUAUUUAAACCUAUUCAAGCACUGGGCAACUGUGCUAGGGAUCCGAGAGCCCAUUUUUCGGCCAGUUGCUGCUUCUUAUUUGCCUGUAAACCGCACCUCAAGACCUUAUCGAUCCAGUUGAUAUAUUAAAGCCUCCUUAGGAUAAGUCUGUAUUUUGGGAAGCGGUGAAAGCUUCAAAAUGGCAUGAGAGGAAAGAAGCUGUUGCUGAACUAACCGAACUUGCUUCCACCAAAAAGAUUUCUCUUGGAGAUUUUUUCAGAAAGUUUGUCAUACAUUAAAGAAGGUUAUCACGAAUGUAAAGGUUGCUGAAGGAAGGAAAAAAAGGAAAAAAAAAGAAAAAUACAUUGUUGUUGCAGCUGUAGCUAUUCAAGCGCAGGGCAACCUUCCUAAGGGUUGAGAACCCUUCCUAAAAAAAGAAAAAAAAAAGAAAAAAGGAAAGAAAAUGAAAAAAACAAAAAAGGAAAAAAAGGAAAAAAUAAUUGCUGAUGCAUUUAAAGCUAUUCAAGCACUGGGCAACUUUGCUGGGGAUCCGAGAGCCCAUUUUUCGGCCAGUUGUCGCUUCUUAUUUGCCUGUAAACCGAUGUCUUCCCUAUCAGCACCUCAGGACCUUGUCGAUCCAGUUGAUAUAUUAAAGCCUCCUUAGGAGAAGUCUGGAUUUUGGUAAGCGGUGAUAGCUUCAAAAUGGCGUGAGAGAAAAGAAGCUGUUGCUGAACUAACCGAACUUGCUUCCACCAAAAAGAUUUCUCUUGGAGAUUUUUUCAGAAAGUUUGUCAUACAUUAAAGAAGGUUAUCACCAAUGUAAAGGUUACUGAAGGAAGGAAAAAAAGGAAAAAAAAAAGAAAAAUACAUUGUUGUUGCAGCUGAAGCUAUUCAAGCGCAGGGCAACCUUCCUAAGGGUUGAGAACCCUUCCUAAAAAAAGAAAAAAAAAAAAAAAAAGGAAAGAAAAUGAAAAAAACAAAAAAGGAAAAAAAGGAAAAAAUAAUUGCUGAUGCAUUUAAAGCUAUUCAAGCACUGGGCAACUUUGCUGGGGAUCCGAGAGCCCAUUUUUCGGCCAGUUGUCGCUUCUUAUUUGCCUGUAAACCGAUGUCUUCCCUAUCAGCACCUCAGGACCUUGUCGAUCCAGUUGAUAUAUUAAAGCCUCCUUGGGAGAAGUCUGGAUUUUGGGAAGCGGUGAUAGCUUCAAAAUGGCGUGAGAGAAAAGAAGCUGUUGCUGAACUAACCGAACUUGCUUCCACCAAAAAGAUUUCUCUUGGAGAUUUUUUCAGAAAGUUUGUCAUACAUUAAAGAAGGUUAUCAGGAAUGUAAAUGUUACUGAAAGAAGGAAAAAAAAGGAAAAAAAACAUUGUUGUCGCAGCUGAAGCUAUUCAAGCGCUGGGAAACCUUCCUAAGGGCCUGAGAAACCUUCUAAAAAAAGAGAAAAAAGGAAUAAAAGGAUAAAAAGAAAAAAAGUAAAAAAAGGGAAAAAGAGAAAAAAAAUAAUUGCUACAGCGUAUAAAGCUAUUCAAGCAUUGGGCAACGUUGCUAGACUUUUCAGAACAAGAGCCUUGCUUAUGCAGUUAAGGAGUGUACUCUGAUAGUCUCAUCAAUGAACUAUUUCUCUGGCUUUUGGAUGAUAGGCUUCCGGAGAUGGAUGAUGGACGUCAAAUUUUAACUGCUUUGAAUGUUCUGAUGUUAAAGAUUCUGGAUAACGCAUAAUAUACGUCAUCAUUUCCUGUGUCUAUAAAUAUGUUAAGACCUCUGGAUCCAUCAAGAUGUCCAUCUUCAGAUCAGAAACCUAAAACCUAAAGUUCUCUGAUUUGGUUUUUAACUGUUUGAUCAUGCUCUAAAGGAAUCUGCAACUCCAAAGAAGGUUGUUAAAGUAACUUAACUGGUGGCAUAGAUGGACUUCCACGUGAAGAUAUAAGUGAAAAGGUCACCCCCACUUUGUUAAAAGGCUUAUAGAGUUCUGAUUGGAAGGUCCACUUGGAAUCUAUUGAAAAUGUAACCAAAAUUCUGGAAGAGGAGAACUGGAAUUGGAAAUCUAUUUGGAGCUCUAUAAGGGCGUCUACACGACAGUUCUAAAAUUUGAUAAUUGCUACUUUGUCCACAGUUGGUGCUCUUCGGACUACAAUGGGACAUCCGGUUGAGAAGUCAAGCUAGGGGAUUUUUUCAGAUUUUUCAAAUGUCUUGAAAAGCCUUGGUGACAACAAAAAGCAUAUGCAUGAGUGUACAUUGAGUACCUUAGAUAAUUGGCUUGAGUGUACAUCUGGCCAAUG
Long non-coding RNA from Salvia splendens (bonfire salvia), 7726 nucleotides. RefSeq lists it as uncharacterized. The transcript is spliced from 54 exons. The record is from RefSeq and is a predicted model, not a curated record. Lineage: Eukaryota; Viridiplantae; Streptophyta; Magnoliopsida; Lamiales; Lamiaceae.